UAGUCUGGCGCUCUUUGGGGUCUCCGGUUUCCUCCCAGUCGCGCAUCCAGUGGGGGCCUAAAAGCUCAAGAGUGUCACAGCUUCCCCUCCCGGGAUCUAAGGUCCUAACUAAGGGAAUCCCCUCACCUCUCCCCACUGGGGCGCAGUCUGACGUGCUCGCUGCUCAGAGCACGCACACAGCUACCGGUUAAUUUAAUUUCUUCUAUUUUUAAUGAAAUGAGUGUCCUCUGUCAGGGUCCACAUCUGUACUGGUGGAAUUAGGUUGAAGUCUUUCAUGGAACUACCCUCCGGGUUCUGCAGUCACAGGAGCCCCUGGCACUCGCCUUUCCCAGGGACAGAUGCUGAGCUCCACUUCAUCGGAAUGCUAAGUGUCCACAGCAUUGCUUUAAGGCUGCCGUCAGAAGUUGUGGCCCAGGUUAAAGUUGGAUCCUCCUACCUUAAGAAAUCCAGAGAAGGGGCUGGUGAGAUGGCUCAGCAGGCAUGGGGCCAAGUGGCUUAAGAGAGACGACCAUCACACAGAAGCCUAGAGCCAUAAUAAUGAUGGGUUUAGCUACUUCAUCUACCACACUUCCUGUUGACUCCUUUCUUCCUGUGCUCUGGUGCUGGAACUCUACUGGCCCAGUAGAGAGUCAAAGUCUUAGCUUGGAGAUGGCAGAGAUGAUGGACAUGAUGGAGAUGGAGAUGACAGAGAAAACAUACUUCAGCAUUGAUGAGUAUCUGCUGAAGGAAGGCAUGCUGGGGAGACUAAUGAAACCACUCAGAUGAUAUAAAGUCGCCUUGAAGAUGGAUCUCUGCGCAUUCUUAUGAGGAGACGAUCUUGACUGAGUUGACUGAAGUGGCAAGACCUGACCACUGGGGAUGACAUCAUCCCUUGGGAUGAGAACUAGGAUCUACAUAAAGAGGGAAGUGAGCUGCACUCAGAAAUCCAUGGCCCUCUGAACCCUAAGGAUGGAUGCCACAUGACCAGCUACUCUAAGCACUGGCUGCUCCAACUCCCCUGCCUUCGUGGACAAGACCCUUGCACUGUGAGCUGAAAUAACCCCCAUCUCCCUCGACUGCUUUUGUCAACUGCUUUUGUUUUAUCAAAGCAACAGGAAAAGAAAGUAGCAUGGCAUUCAAUUUAUCAGCAGUAAAUGUUACUGGUAAUUGUACUUUCUUUUUUCAUUUCUGGAUAUCAAGUCUAAGUACUCACUCAUUCUAAAUAAGCCAUCUUCUUCCAAGUUACCGUCCCUUGCCUGACAUUUUUAUGAAACAUUUCUAUGGCAUUUUCCCCCAUAGCCCAAUGUUUCUAUUUAAGGUUUUAUUUAAGUAUUUCCUUUAAGGUUCAACUUUCCCUCUACCAUUUUGGUUUUUUUUUUCCUCCAAAAUGGCCCUUUGUUUUCUUUUUUCACAUUCUUUUCUUCCUAUGCCCAGCUGUAUGCAAAUGAUACAAGCAUUCGUGUUUCUAUUUGAAUGUCUUAUCUGAGUUCCAAUGUCAAUAUGUCAAUAUCUGAAGGGCUGCAUUAUAUCCUUUGAACAUUUCAGUGAUAAGUCACAUGUGGUAUGCCCAAAAAAGAUCUCGUGUCACCCCCCCCCCCCACCUCCCUCAUCUAAUCUGCUUGUCUUUGGACUCCUUUCCAGUAAAUUAUAGCAUGAUACUUUCAUUAUUUUACUUUCAAGUGUUGCAUUUGUGUAAUUUCUCUUCUCUAUACGACCUGCAUCUAGCCAUGAUCUCUCUUUGUUACAUCUUCUCUCUUUUCCUCUUGUCUGUUCACCAUUUCAUCCCAAGCAAUUAGUUUUAGUAAAAUAUUGACAAGCCAAUGCUUUCAGACAAUUCUUAGGAAAACAGGAGAAAAAAGUAUUAUAAUCACAACACUUGGCAGACUGAGUCAGGAUGUUUAUCAGGAGUCCAAGGCCAGUGUAGGCUUCAGAGUGAGACUGUGUCCAAAGAUAAAAUAAGGAUCUAGAUAGAUGGCUCAGGGAGUAAGAAUACAGGUUUCUCUUAGAGAGGGUCUGUUAUGUCCCAGCAUGUUCAUGAUAGCUUGUAACCAUUCAUAAUUUCAGUGCUGGGAAGUGAUCCCAGGUUCUUCUGCGAGAUCAGCAAGUGAUCUUAACAACUGAGCAAACUACCCACACCCAUUGUUACCAUUUAUUUAUUUACCAAAUGAAGAAUUUAUAUCCUUUAGGUAUCUGUAUAAAAAAAUUCAAGAAUCUUAAUUGUAACUCCUAUGUCAUUACAGAGGUUUUCCUUUUUAUCCUCUUUUAAAGGAUACACUUAUUUUUAAUGUAUUGUACGUAUGAGUGCCUGCAUGUAUGUAUAUACACCAUAUGUCGGUCAGAUACCUGAGGAAGCCAGAAGAGCAUACCAGGUCCCCUGGAGCUGGAAUCACAAACAAUCCUGUUAGCAUGUAGGUGCUGAGAACCAAACCCAGGUUCUCUCAAAAGCAAUAAGCACUCUUACUGAAUGAAGAAUCUGUUUAGCCCCUGUUUGUCUUCUUAAGGGUCCCAUGGCAGUUGCCCUGUAUGCUUAUUUGUGACUACAUAUGCAAGGAACAUCACUACAACUAGAAUGCAUGCUUCAUCAAAAAGACCCUCCUGUAGAAUCUUGUGUUUGAAAGCUACAUCUGCUGUAAGACCAUUAGAGAAGAGAAGACUCACUUCAGUUCAAUGGUUUGUAUUCAGAAGUCCAGGAUUGAGAACUAAGUAAACAAUGGUGGCCCUUAAAGAGAUAGAGUGUUUUUCACAGUGCUGUAUAUUCCACCAUAGUCAUCUUGUAUUGCAUUAAUCAGAAUCAAGAAUUUAUGACUGAGAAGCACAUCAUUGCCAUAAUUGCAUUAACUGUAAAGACAAUUUUAGUGACAUGACACUGUCACAGACAAAGCAAACCCACAGAUAUAGUAUAGCAGAUUAUGAAGACUUAGAUUGGAGUCUGACUCUCUGGUAGUCUUUAGCUUAGGG
Molecule: long non-coding RNA, 2937 nt
Filed under: Mus musculus (house mouse)
Lineage: Eukaryota; Metazoa; Chordata; Mammalia; Rodentia; Muridae
Description: prostaglandin-endoperoxide synthase 2, opposite strand
Source: RNAcentral